GGUCUUCAGGAUUACUAGCAACUUCCAGGCAGGUUUUUGGAGCAGUUAAGAGCUAAACUCUGUGGGAUUGGACAGCCCUGCUUUAUAUCCAUCUCGGGGAUUUUUCCGAGGCCGUCUCUUAACACACGGUGCCGUUUUCUUGGCGGGAUUUGGGGCACGUGGAGCGAGGGAUCGGCUGUACAGAGGGCGCCAGCGUGCAGAAGAAGCCGGCGAUGAGGGACAGGCCCAAACCGCCCCAGGCGCAGAACAUUGACCAGCCGUAACCGUGACUGAUGUCGUCUGGGAGGCCGUAUAUGUAACGAGGGUAACGGGACAGCUCGAAGUUGAUGCCUGCUACACAGCUGACUUACCGCCCAUGAGGAAGAGUAGGCCUGCCACAUACUGCAUGAGGCCACGGUCCCAACAGCACCCCAGCAUCCCAAUUAUCCAGCCGAAGAGGAUGAUGGCCACCGCCAUUCCCAUAAAUCCUGCA
Molecule: long non-coding RNA, 472 nt
Organism: Megalobrama amblycephala (Wuchang bream)
Lineage: Eukaryota; Metazoa; Chordata; Actinopteri; Cypriniformes; Xenocyprididae
Exons: 3
Source: RefSeq, a predicted model, not a curated record